Molecule: ribosomal RNA, 596 nt
Filed under: uncultured Alteromonadaceae bacterium
Lineage: Bacteria; Pseudomonadati; Pseudomonadota; Gammaproteobacteria; Alteromonadales; Alteromonadaceae
Description: bacterial SSU rRNA
Rfam family: Bacterial small subunit ribosomal RNA
Source: RNAcentral
GCAGCAGUGGGGAAUAUUGCACAAUGGGCGAAAGCCUGAUGCAGCCAUGCCGCGUGUGUGAAGAAGGCCUUAGGGUUGUAAGGCACUUUCAGUAGGGAGGAAAGGUUACGUGUUAAUAGCACGUAGCUGUGACGUUACCUACAGAAGAAGGACCGGCUAACUCCGUGCCAGCAGCCGCGGUAAUACGGAGGGUCCGAGCGUUAAUCGGAAUUACUGGGCGUAAAGCGUACGUAGGUGGUUUGUUAAGUUGGAUGUGAAAGCCCAGGGCUCAACCUUGGAACUGCAUUCAAAACUGGCGAACUAGAGUAUGGUAGAGGUGAGUGGAAUUCCCUGUGUAGCGGUGAAAUGCGUAGAGAUGGGGAGGAACAUCAGUGGCGAAGGCGACUCACUGGACCAAUACUGACACUGAGGUACGAAAGCGUGGGUAGCAAACAGGAUUNGAUACCCUGGUAGUCCACGCCGUAAACAUGUCUACUACCCGUUGGGGGUCCUUGAGACUUUAGUGGCGCACUAACGCNCUAANUAAAACCGCCUGGGGGANUUACGGGNCNCAANAAUUAAAAACUCAAAGGAAUUGGNCGGGGGAAAUUCNAAUU